GUUGUCUGCAGACAUUGCCGGUGUACACCAACCCCUUGCCGGGGAGGGAAAGUGGUAACGGGAGCUACCAUGCUCUACACGACCGCUAGAAUCCACACCUCCCCAGCAACUCAGGGCGCAGUCUGCAGAGCAGAGGGUGCAUGAAAACUGUCAGUGUGCUGUGUUUUGUUUGUGUAUGUUUUUGUAUUUGGAAAAGUUAGAUUAAUUGGUGGGAGUUUUAAUGGAGUUACUGGUGGAUGUAAUGUUUCCCCUCAACCUUCCUCCGCUGCCGGUUGUCUGCAGACAUUGCCGGUGUACACCACCCCUUGCCGGAGAGGGAAAGUGGUAAAGGGAACCACCAAGCUCUACACGACCGUUAGAAUCCACCGUGUGACGGGCCGUACUUAUAAACACUAAGAUGACGUCCUAACGGUAAGAAGUCGCCCUAAAUCACAAAAAUGGCGGAAUUCGAGUCUUAAAUUCUUAAGACGACAUCCUAAGCCCUAAAGAUGCGUCUUACUGCUAAAACACCUCCCGAGGUGUUUUAGCAGUAAGACACGCUCCUAAGAUUUCAUCCUAAAAGUAAACAUGGCCGCCCGAGAGGAACCGCAAGGCACCACCUGCGAGAGAGACGGUCGUUUCGUGAGAGGAAGGACGUCCUGAAUGAGCUAGAUGACCGUGAGGUGGUGAAGAGGUAUUGGCAGGAUCCUGCUGGUAUCAUUUUCGUGACAAAUUGGUGCGGGAAAGGCUGAAGAGACCAACUGCAAGAAACAAGGCCUCUCUCCCCAAGAUGCAAGUUAUCUUCACUGCGAUACCUCGCUAUAGGAAAGAUGCAGCAGUGCAGCACUGAUGACUUGGGGCCCUCACAACAGACCAUCAGCAGGAUCAUCAGUGAUACAGUGAUACAAUGCCAUCCUCUCAUAAUUCAUAAGAUUUUUAGUCAUCCAACUGGAAACUCAGUGGAGGAAGGAGGAGUUUCUGCAGAUUGCUGGCUUCCCUGAAGUGAUCGGUGGCAUUGAUGGAACGCAUGUAAUGAUUGUGGCUCCUAGAGAGUAUAAGGUAGAGUUUGUCAACAGGAAGAGAUACUACAGCAUCAACGUGCAGUUUGUUUGAUGCUUGAUACCACAUUAUUGAUGUAGUUGCAAAGUGGCCGGGAUCGGUUCACGAUGCAAGAAUACUUGUUCAAAGUGGACUCUGCACGAUAUUUGACAACGGCAUCGUCCCAGCUGGGUGUCACUUACAGGGAGAUAGUGACUAUCCCAGCAAGAAGUGGCUACUGACUCCAUACCUCAGACCACAGCCUGGAGCACAGUCUUCUUAUAACAGGGCCUACAAGAAAACCGCAGCAUUGUUGAGAGGCAUCGGGCAGCUGAAGCGACAUUUUCACGUGCUACACAGUGAGAUCCGAGUUGGUCCUCCAUCCAAGGUCUGCCAAAUUGAAGAGGUUUGUGCACUGCUGCACAAUAUCUGCAAAGCAAGAAACAUCAUUCUUCCUGAGGAAGAAGAACAUCUUGCUGCAGCCGAGGAUGGAGGCAAUGAGGAGCGACUCAUAGCACAGAAAGUUCAAAGUCACCAUGAAGUAAUCCUUUACAGGGAUGAAUUUGUUGUACUUCACUUCAACAUUGAUGAGUGAUGAGACACCAGUGUCAUGACUGCUGAGAUUGGUGUUAUUCUCAUGUGGAUGAUCUCCUCCUCAUCCACAAACACCAGUGAUGUACCAGGCAAGUCUGGCCCCUGUUGGUGCUGCAAGUGGUGUGGCAGGUGCCUCCUCCUCAACACCCACUGCCUCGGUCAUCACUUCUCUCUGUUGGGCUGCCUCUGCCACUUCCCCAGCAUCAUCUGCUACCUGCACACUGGUGGCAUCAUUAGUUCUAACUUCAGAAACUAAGCUGAUAAUGUUUUUGGUUUUAUUGCUAAGGACAAAAGUAACAGAAACCAGUAAAUCUA
This 1926-nucleotide long non-coding RNA is filed under the name Portunus trituberculatus (swimming crab). RNAcentral's name for it is "uncharacterized LOC123520110". The record is from RNAcentral. Lineage: Eukaryota; Metazoa; Arthropoda; Malacostraca; Decapoda; Portunidae.